This is a long non-coding RNA of Agrilus planipennis (emerald ash borer), 958 nucleotides long. RefSeq lists it as uncharacterized. The record is from RefSeq and is a predicted model, not a curated record. Lineage: Eukaryota; Metazoa; Arthropoda; Insecta; Coleoptera; Buprestidae. The transcript is spliced from 4 exons.
UAUAAAACACGUUAGGUACUUAGUUGAAAUUCCCCUCUAAGAAUUUUGAAAAAUAAUCUACAAGUUGAACGAAGAUGAAUAAUCUUCUGUGUUUCGAAAUUAACAUUGGAAUUUAACUUUCGCCUCGGGUUCAGCAUUUGGCGACGGUAACUGAUCGACGUGGUUGUUGUGCCGCUCUGUCAAGCCUGCUUCAGGGCAUUUACCCUAUUAUAAUUAUUCGAAAAAUACGUUACAGAAAAAAACGAUCAAGUUUUUUCGUAAAAGAGGUAAAAUCUUUAAGAUACACCCAGCCAUUGGAUUUUCUCGAUCUACACAGUCUGAGCAAGCAUUAUAGUGGUUGCGUUAACGACUACUCAAGCAAAUAUUCCUAAUUGGAUAGCACUUCAGUAUGAUAUAAUUCAAAUACGGUGCAGGACUAGUAAAAGAAGCUAAUUAGCCAAAAUAGUGAAGGUGAAGUUGCAACAAUUCUUUUUAAACUAUGGUUACAUACUUAUUUUCACAGUAUAUCCUGUGAGCUACCCUGACACAACAUUUAAUAGGGUCGGAUUUACGAACACAGGAGAAGACGCGGAAUAGCGCUAUUAGGGGAAUAAAGUCGGAAAGCGGUUUAACAAUUCUCACUUAUAACCCAGGAAUAGAACAUUCAUAACCUAACCUAACCUAACCUAACUCAGAAAUAGAAUAUUCAUUAAGUAAACUUCGGAGUAAAUUCUUACGUACCAACAAUAAGACAAUAAGGUCGAUGAGACUGCAAAUAAGAAGUACAUAGAACAAAUUUAGUCCUAAAUCACCAAAUAAACUAAUCAUAAAAUUGCAAUUACGGGGGAAUCAAAGUAACUGAUAUCAUGCGGUUGGUAAAGAAAGCAGAAAUGAAAAUUAUUAAGGAGAUUAUGCAAAAGUGCAAGUAAUAAACUUGCUUAUAUGUUUAUAUACAGAAAUUAAAUGCAAAAGAUUAAAU